This 85-nucleotide transfer RNA is filed under the name Dysgonomonas sp. RNAcentral's name for it is "tRNA-Ser". It matches the Rfam family "tRNA". From Rfam's summary of the family: Transfer RNA (tRNA) molecules are approximately 80 nucleotides in length. Lineage: Bacteria; Pseudomonadati; Bacteroidota; Bacteroidia; Bacteroidales; Dysgonomonadaceae. The record is from RNAcentral.
GGAAAGUUGGCAGAAUGGUUAUUGCAGCAGUUUGCUAAACUGUAGACUUAAAAAAGGUUUGCCGGUUCGAAUCAGGCACUUUCCG